ACGCUCGACACCUACGGGAGGCUGCAGUGGGGAAUAUUGCACAAUGGGGGAAACCCUGAUGCAGCGACGCCGCGUGAGCGAAGAAGUAUUUCGGUAUGUAAAGCUCUAUCAGCAGGGAAGAAACUGACGGUACCUGACUAAGAAGCACCGGCUAAAUACGUGCUAGCAGCCGCGGUAAUCUGAGCGGGCUGGCAAGGC
This 198-nucleotide ribosomal RNA is filed under the name uncultured bacterium. RNAcentral describes it as "partial 16S ribosomal RNA". It matches the Rfam family "Bacterial small subunit ribosomal RNA", at positions 328 to 539 of the family's 1533-position model. The record is from RNAcentral.